Molecule: ribosomal RNA, 254 nt
Filed under: uncultured bacterium
Lineage: Bacteria
Description: partial 16S ribosomal RNA
Rfam family: Bacterial small subunit ribosomal RNA
Source: RNAcentral
UACAGAGGGGGCAAGCGUUGUUCGGAAUUACUGGGCGUAAAGGGCGCGUAGGCGGCCUUCUAAGUCGAACGUGAAAUCCCCGGGCUCAACCCGGGAACUGCGUCCGAUACUGGAAGGCUUGAAUCCGGGAGAGGGAUGCGGAAUUCCAGGUGUAGCGGUGAAAUGCGUAGAUAUCUGGAGGAACACCGGUGGCGAAGGCGGCAUCCUGGACCGGUAUUGACGCUGAGUGAGCGAAAGCCAGGGGAGCAAACGGG